ACUGAUCCCCCCUGCGCGCAUCCGGUGUGUUUACCUGAUGGUGCUGCCUAUAAUCUCGUGUUUCAGCAAUUUCUUCCCGGUAUAAUCUCGGAGCAGCGGAGCUGGAGAGCAUCAGCCUCGCACCAGCCGCGCGCAGGGCAAGUUAGUUACGUAUGUACAUAGGGUGCAAUAUAAUAUUAUAACGUCGCCGACGCCGUACAGUUUACACUGUAUAGGAUACAUACACAGACAUAUCGAGCUGCAUCUGCGCGCGCAGUGUUGUGGAGAUCAUCAGAGCGCUACCUACUAUAUGUGCGCGCGGGGGGGCUAGCUAGACUCGCGCGCGUCGGCCGAGAGUGCAGUGGCGUCGUGCACCCUGAUCGCGACAGAGCAUCACUGUGAUCGCGUGCAUAGCCAGACACGAGGAGAAGAGUCUCGUGUUUCUCCUAUACAGACGGUAUAUAUUGUAAUAUUUAGUCAACAUGGCGGAAUUUUGCGAUACGAAUUCGCACCAGGUCGGCAAGAACAAUCACCAGUCGCAGCGGGGCAACAACCAGUGGGUCAGGCUCAACGUCGGAGGCACCUACUUUCUCACAGCCAAGACCACCCUGACGCGCGACCCCAACUCCUUUCUCUGUCGACUCUGCCAGGAGGACUCGGACCUCAUAUCCGACAGGGAUGAAACUGGAGCAUACCUUAUUGACAGAGACCCCACGUACUUCAGUCCUAUCCUCAACUACCUGAGACAUGGUAAACUCGUCAUAAAUAAGGACCUUGCCGAGGAAGGUGUUCUGGAGGAGGCUGAGUUUUACAAUAUCACCGAGCUCAUCAGGCUUAUCAAGGAGAGGAUCAUCCUCAGAGAUACGCGGCCAAUAAGAGACUCUAAAAAGCACGUCUACAGGGUUAUUCAGUGCCACGAGGACGAGCUGACGCAGAUGGUUUCUACCAUGUCGGAUGGAUGGAAGUUUGAACAGCUAAUCAACAUUGGCUCUCAGUACAACUAUGGAAACGAAGACCAUGCCGAGUUUUUGUGUGUUGUUAGUCGAGAGUACGGACCCACGCAAUUGACCAGCAAAGAACAGGAGUCGACAGAUCGUGUCAAGGUAUCACUCCUAUCCCGAACAAAUUUUGCGCAUUCACAACCUGGCCAGAGUCAUUCAACUAGUCGGGAUUAAGCCUAUACUUUACAUUAGCUCAAGUUUUAAUGAGAAUAUUGUGUACCAAAUUAUUUACCAUUACCGGUAGACACUAAUACAGUAAUAAUGCUUUUGACAUUUUAAUUAAACUCAUCAAGACUGCCUCUUUCUACAAAUCGUCACUGAUAUUAUGCUGAUAUUAUUUAAUUUCUCCGCUGAAUUUGUGAAAAGAAUUCUAAAAAUCGUGCCUUAUUAAUUACAAAAAGACUAAGAGAGAAGGGCAGACUCGAUGAGUCUCAGUGGUAUAUAGUAGAUGUAUUUAAAGACAUGGAUUUACAUUUAAUUGCUAAUAGCGUAAUUUCUGAUGAAAGUAUUAACAACACGUGUGACUAAUAGAAACUCACAGAGAGAUUAGCAUUCCAAGUAUAUACAUGAUAUACAUUUUCGUUUCCUUUUUUUUUGCACACGUUUGUAUUGUCACAAUUGAGCAAACCAAUGUAUACAAUCACACAACGACGUUCGCUCUCGAGAAAAAAAAACAGAAAUAUUUUCAUCACGAAAGAAUACCGUAAACACGCACCUAUAUACAGUUUAUACAUCAUUUAGCCAUUAUACAUUGAUAUACUAUUGCCAAGGGUUCAUAUUUCUGCAUGAGCAUGUGUCCUUUUACAAUGGUAUUUUGUAAACCUCCUUUUUUUUGUGCGUCUAACCCGCGCGCAGAGUUGUUAUUAUUAUUGUAACGCAAGCAUGCAUAUCAGAUUUUAAGUAAAAAAAAACAAAAAACAAAAAUGAAAAAAAGAACUGGAAUAAAGAUCUGUUCCUCUCAUCGGUAUCUAGUGAUUCCUUUUGUUUUGCGUGAUCCGCAUGACACUUAACGGUGCAUGCAGGCUACUCUGCCAGUGUGUAGCGCGAACCACAUUUUCUCUGUGUGUGCUGGCGGUCGCCGUUGCUGGUUUUCUCACUCAAAAGAGGGGCUACACGCUUACGAGAGGGAGGAUUUUAAUGCCAAAGUCCUCCAGCAAAAAGGCUCGCGCAUGUAAUAUUCGAGUCCUAUCCAGGUCCCUAUCAUUGGCUGCCUAUCGCGAUUGUGGCCGCUACUGAAAUACCUCGUGAGAAAGUCAAGAAUCAACGUUUCUUGGCCAAGGAGUUCGCCGACCUGGUUGGCCAGCCACAGCGAUUAGAGUCAGUCUAUAUAUAGUGUCCUGAUGCGAAGAGAACUACACUAUACGCACACUACUACUACAAAACAUACAUGGACAUCAUACACACGCACACGCUCGCGCGCGCAUAUAUACCAGAUGCAUAUAUGUCAUGUAUAUAUAACUCGUUUCGAGAAAGAGUGCGAGGGCUGCCAGCUCGGAUUAAUAAUGCGGCAGAUAUAUCCUCCCCCCCCCCCCCAUCGACUGUUCGUUCAAAGCUCUUCGCAACGAUCAUCAAAUAGAAGACUGGAACAACUAAAUAAUCAAAGCAGCAGCGGCACACGGACAGCUACUCCUAAUAUAUAAUGUAACGUUGCAUAUACUCUGUCUCAUGUUUGUCUUCUUUAAUUUAGGCUUUUCCAUAUUAUAAUCUAUAAUACUGUCAUUCCGACGUAUACUUUUUCGAAUCGAUUCAAGCGAGAGAGGGCGAACUGCGUUUUUUAUUAUACGUUACGAAGCCCGCAUAUACCUAUUUGAAGUACGUAUAUGUGUGUAGAUUUCUAUAUAUGAGAAAGAGAGAGAAAGAGUUCGAUUCAAGAAUAAGUCCUUACGUUGGGUACAUAUAUACAUGUAACAAAUGACGAAAGUUAGAUUACGCGAGCGCAGUGGCUAAGUGUGUACAGUGUAAGAUCUUCGUGUAACCAAAUUGUGUCGUUUUGUUAAUUUUUUUAUUACAAUGACAGUGUGUUAUAUAAAAAAAAAACGACGACAUAUUAUAGUCGAGACGAUAAACGACGCGAGAGGAAAGUACGGUGUGUCAUGAUCCGGAAGACGCUCUUAACGACCAAAUAAAAUUAAAAACAAACUCUCACGUCCCACGAUGAUUCAAUUGACCGGGGGGGGGGGGGGGGACUUUUAAGAUCUUUGUACGAUCGAGAUUAAGAAAUUUGGAUAAAUAAUUUUAAACGCGACCCGAGCGUCGUUUUCAUAUCGACUUUAUUAGCAAGAUAAUAUGACAACACUCGUUCCCGUUUUUCCCGGCAAAGGGCGAGGCGAUUAUGAUGAUUUACACUUUUUUUACAAAAGUAAUAAUUAAUAAUUAAUAUGAGAAUAAUAUAUACAUACAUAUAAAUAAGUAAUAAUGAUAACUCUAGAAGAUGUAGUCAAUUCCUUUUGGAAACAGAGUCUCGUCUCUCCUCUCAGACGUACAUUGCAUGUAAUCGUGUAUUGUAUAAUUAUAUACUUAUACCUCUGCACUGCCGCCGUAAAAACAUAAUAAGUGUGUGUGUGUGUGUGUAUAUAUAUAUAUAUAUAUAUAUAUAUUUAUAAUAAGUAUAUAUAUAUAUAUAUGUGUGUGUGUGUGUGUGUGUGAACUUACAACACGAUUUUUUAUCGUCCAGGUAUAAGCGCAUUUUAGAAGAUAUUAUUUAGCGUGCGAGAGUGUUCUAAAGAAAAUCAAACGUAUAAGGAAAAAACGUCAACCGAUAUGACAAAAUAAUUCAUCAAACAAACAAAAAAUAAUAUAACUUUGUACUUUAACGGAGACUCUAUACGAAAAUGAUAGCCUGUAAUGAACUCGAAAAAGUACAAUUUCUUGCAGAAAAAAUCUAAAACAAACUAUGAUUACCGGCUAAAGAUUGCUUAUACAAAAUAUAAACAUUGAAGAGUCCUUUGAUCGUUACCGUUAGAUAUUUAGAAAUGACAUAAAGUGGAGUGCAAUAUUAAACGUUAAUCCUAUGCAUAGCUACAAAUACAUUAUGUAUAUGUAGUAUAUAUAUAUAUAAAUACUAAAACUGUAUAUGUAUAUCCACGGUCUUGUAAUAACGAUUCAGUGAGUCGGAAAAAAGCAACAUGUUUUGUAUGUUAUUAUACGCCAAUAAUGAUAUAUAGGAGCGUGAGCGAAAAGCCGCAGAUAUUCAUCGUGUUUGGUGCGCGAUAGACUUACUUACGUUUAUAACGACUUGUUUUCCUUUUACGAUGGAAGUUUUACGCGGCAUUGAUUAUUAUUAUCAUUAACGUAUACCGUGGAUUACAAAAAUUUAAAGGAAAUGCAAGCACAUUCGUUUCGAACAUUACGCAAUUUACUUAUUAGUAUACAAGAUGAUGCUUAAAUAAUAUAUUAUAGUGUACCGACAUCUCACUCUGGUCAUUAUGUAAGUGGUAUUUCAAUUUUGUGAUAAAACUUCUGUAUUCACCUUAUUACGACUAUCGAUGGGAAGAAAGUAAAGAGUAAAUAAGUGAUGAAACUAUAAGAAGAUAUAUAAGAGCUGUUACAAAAACUCGUGUAAAAAGAGUAUACAGUCUAUAUACAUAUAGUAAUGCGUAGAUUAUAUAUGCAACCACGAUGCAGUUUUCAAUGUAGAGAAAAAAUCCACUCUGGACAAUAUAUAAAUAUUAUAUACAUAUAUAUGUAUAAUAUACGCUGCGUCGCUAUAAAAACGGUUAGGCUAUAUAUAUAAAAAAAGGAGUCAUCUUUCGUAUAAUCAGAUCGGGAGUUUUGAAAGAUCGCGAUUUCGAAAAUCCAUGAUUUGGGGACAUAUCGCGGAUGAUUCAAACUCGACCAAUAACUUUUGUACCAUACAAUAUAUGAAACUAAUGACGUUUGCGACGCAUAAGUUGUACAUAGUGAGACGAAGAACUAAAGUAAAGCCAACUAUAUCGUGAACGUGUGUAUAUAGUUGGCUUUCAAGAAUAUAUUAUAUAAAUUUUAUGACUAGAUUUAUCUUCAAUUAUAUAUGCACGCGUUAAUCAGCUCGAUUGCAAAGAGACACAAAAAGCGCGAAAACACAUCGUACAUAGAAUAAUGCAUCGUUUGUAUCGGUUGUAAAUUGUAUUAAAAAAAGAAAAAAAGAAUAAAAAUACCCUAUUGCGUA
Molecule: RNA transcript, 5127 nt
Organism: Nasonia vitripennis (jewel wasp)
Lineage: Eukaryota; Metazoa; Arthropoda; Insecta; Hymenoptera; Pteromalidae
Gene: inc
Gene name: BTB/POZ domain-containing protein KCTD5
Exons: 4
Source: RefSeq, a predicted model, not a curated record